This 5404-nucleotide long non-coding RNA is filed under the name Malus domestica (apple). RNAcentral describes it as "long non-coding RNA (MDOM_LNC016824)". The record is from RNAcentral. Lineage: Eukaryota; Viridiplantae; Streptophyta; Magnoliopsida; Rosales; Rosaceae.
AAUAGCUUAAAAUACUAAAAUAACUACGAACUAACAACAUAAAUGCCAAGAAACAAGCUAACUAAGUCGUAUAAAUAUGCUCCUAUCAGCAGUAGAGGAGGAGAAACUGGUUCGGGUGUUGAAAGAGCACAAAACAGCCAUUGGAUGGACUUUGGCCGACAUUAAGGGAAUUAGCCCUAUAACUGAUAGGAGCAUAUUUAUGCGACUUAAUUAGCUUGUUUUCUUGCAUUUUAGCUAGUUUCUACUUAUUAUAGUGAUUUAAGCUAUUUUCGUGUGUUUGUAGGUCCAAAUGACAAAGUUGGCAUGAAAGUGCAAUUUGGAGCAGUUUUGGGCCAAGAAUGGAUAGCAUGCGUGGGGAGUACUUUGGAUGGACAAUUUUGAAGUUCAAGAACUAGGAAUGUGUUAAAGAUCUGGAAUAAAUGAAUUCAAGACAAAGAAGAUAAAGAACCAGCUAAAAGGAAGGAACACUAUCCAAAACCUUAUCUUAUCCAAACUAACCUUAUCUUAUCCUAUCUUAUCCUAAUCUUAUCCUACCUUAAUUCCAGCUGCAAGGGGGACUCCUUAUUACAUUAGAAUACCUAAUAUCUGAUUCUAGAAGCCCUGAAACAAUGCAAAUAACCUGAUCUAUUUUUCCCCUAGAAAUUUGAUGAAUUUAAUCCUUUCUUUUCUAGAAACCUACCGUGUAUCCUACUCCCUUUCAUCCUAUGAUUGUGCAAUCCUUUUUCCUUCAGAAAUUGUGCAAACCCUAGGCCUAUAAAUACAUAUUUAUCACCACAAUUUUUUUGGACCACACACACAAGAGAAAAAACAUCAGAAAAAUACAAUUGUGCUGCAGAUUUGCAAGGAAAGAAUGAGAGGAGACCUUUUGCCAUGCCCUGCCAUUCAAGCUUGGAUUGCAGGACGUUCCUAGGCGUAUUCUAUCCAUAGUUUUAGUUCAAUGUCUAAAUUAGAUUGGUUUCGUUUAAUUGCAAAUACUAAAUUCGUUUUAGUUAGAGGUGUCAAAGCCAUGAACAUAUAUAUGAUAUGAAUUGAUUACAUCCAGUCAUGAUUCCAUGAAUCGUGAAUGCAAUUUACUUAUCUGUUUGAUUGAUAACUAAUUCUUGUGUGUUGAUUGUGGGUGCACACUUAGUUUGCAUGCAGGGAUUUGAUGCUAGAAUAUAAGGGAAAUUCACCUAAUUGUUAUGAACUUAUAUUCACAAGUAGUAAAAGUCACCAGUCAUGAUUGUGUUAAGUAAAUUCUUGGCAAGAGUAUCAUGCAAACGAAUGUCUUGUCAAUGCUUAUGAUUUUCAUAGAACUUAAUGAUCUUUGAUAUGUAUCUCUAUUAUGCAGUUCAUGUAGGGAACUUGAUAAGAAUAAUUUGGUUGCAUCGCUGAGUCCAAUUCAAUGAAAUUAGGAAAAUCUGAAAGUUAAUUUGUGCUUCUCACGAUUAAUUUGGGGCAUUGUCAUUCAUGGUUUAUAGGAAGAAUAACUGGAAAUCGAUUUGUAUGCAUAUGUGUCAUGUGUGGAGAAGGACCCUCUAACUAGCCAUUCACCCUUUAAAUCACCAAUUUCAUUUAAAAUUACUUAAGAGUCUUAAAUCUGUUUGCUUUUAGUCUUAAAUUUGUCAAAAACAAACCCCUUUUUUGUUUAGUGUUUUUAGGUUAGAAUCUUUCCAAACUAGGUUCUUUUGAGUGUUUUGAGUCAGUAUUAGUUAGAAUUAGUCCAUAAACAUUGUCUUGAGUCAAGGUAAGUUCAAUUUUCGUCCAAAUUACAUUCUAGUUUUGUUUUGAGUCACUUUAGCUUAGUUUGUGUGUUUUGAGUCAGUUUAGUCAAUUUUGAGUAGUUUGAGUCUAGUUUUCUGUUUUAGAGUCUACUUUUGUGUUUUUGAGUUUCUUUUGCGUUGAUUAGCAUCCCUAACUAAUCCCCAGCCUAAAAUGUUCCCUACUUACGUGUACUACAACUAUCUUAAUUGGGUUUAAUUUGUGUGUUUUCAUGGAUGAUUUUAAUGUCUUCGGUGACUCUUUUGAUGAUUGUUUAACUAAUCUCACUCUGAUAUUGGAAUGCUGCAUCGAAACUAACCUUGUUUUAAAUUGGGAAAAGUGUCACUUCAUGGUAAAACAAGGCAUAGUUUUAGGUCAUAUAGUUUCAGAAAAGGGAAUUGAAGUGGAUAAAUCUAAAAUAGAUCUUGUACGCUACUUACCCUCUCCCUCUUCGGUGAGAGAGGUUCGUUCUUUCCUUGGACAUACAAGAUUCUAUAGACGUUUUAUCAUAGAUUUCUCAAAGAUUUCAACACCCUUGUGCCGACUUCUACAAAAAGAUGUGCCAUUUAUGUGUUGAUGAAGAAUGUGAGAAGGCAUUCAAUCACCUCAAAAAAUGCUAACUUCGGCACCUAUCAUUGUUCCACCAAAUUGGAGUCUUCCUUUCGAGCUUAUGUGCGAUGCUUCAGAUUAUGCCUUAGGGGCUGUUUUGAGACAAAGAAAGGACAAGCAGCCGCAUGUCAUCUAUUACGCUUCUCGGACCUUGAAUGAUGCUCAAUUGAAUUACUCUACCACUGAAAAAUAACUCAUUGCUAUUAUGUUUGCUUUAGAUAAGUUUUGUUCUUAUUUACUUGGAACUAAAGUUAUAAUUUACUCUAAUUGUUGGAGAUAUGCCCUGAAAGUCAAUCUUUGGAAGAAACCUUUCAGGACAAUGUCUAUAUGUAUGGAAAGCUUUAAUACAUCAAAAGGCAAGUCACUCAUUAGGACUAUCUCAAUAAACGAUAUACGUCCUAAAGAGUGAAUCCAUGGACAAUGGAUCGAUGGAAGAAGUAAUCUAAUGAUGUUAGAUUGCAGAGACCUUCUUCAUAUAACCAUGAUGUCCAAAAAGGUUCUUGGUCAUAGGAUUGUCGGAGGGACAUUGACAAUACAUAGACCAGUACAUACUAUGUCCUCUUCCAAUGGGAAGGAUGGAAAGUCUCAUGCCAUUCAUGUAGUGAUACUAAGAAAAGUAUGUAGGUGCUCAUUAUGGGAAUGAGUUCACCGAACACAAUCAAACGAGAGUACUUGCAUAGAGGUCUACUCACAUGUCAAGCAAGUAACUCUAUUGGUUGGAAUAAUGUAAGUAAUCCUUUGACCUGAGACAUCAUAGUUGUCUUGGGGAUACGUUGCUGAUCAUUUGAUAAUGAGACGUGACCAUAUCUCAUCUUGGAUGUGUUCUAUGCAUUGUUGGGGUCAGUGAUUUAUUCUCAGAGGCAUGUGAAUGAUCAACAAGGAAUCUCUAAUCCUCGUUAUGAGAGGAUGAAUACUCUAAGAUAUGAUUCAGGAAUCUUCGGCCGAAGUAUCGAGUGUAAUGAUGGAAAGCGUUCCUAUACAACUCAAUAGAAUCAUAUAACUUGAUAUAAUCACAUUAGGGGUUUGACAUAAAAUAUCCAUACCCUAGUAAUGUGACUGUGAGUAUUGUAUUAGAGAAGGAUCGAAUUACAUUGUAAUUCCAACUGAAUAGGUUCUCCGAACAAAUUCUACAUUAGCUUGGGUAGCCAUGAUAUAUGGUUAGAUGUCACUCAUGGCUUGUGAGUUCUUCUAGAUGAUUAAAUAAGUAUUCAUCAAAGAAGAAGGAGAAUUAAAAGUAAGUUUUAAUUCACUAAGUGAUUGGAUAAAUAAUAAUCAAUUGGAUUGAUACCAAUCACCUCACUGCCUUGCUAAUUAGAACCUAAAAUGAUUGUACACCGAAACACUCUUGUGGUGAGACAAGUAAGGAUGAUGGAAUUAAUCAAUUGGAUUAAUUAAGUGUUAUGAUUAAUUAGAAAGUCUAAAGAAAUCAUAUAAACGAUAAAAGAUCGUUUAGGACUUCAAGAAAAGUUCGGGUUCAUUCGGGCCCAUUGGGCCCAAACGAAUUGGGUCCUUUUAUUCAAGCAUAUUAUGACUUGAGAUGAUGAAAGCCCAAAGUCCAAACCCACACUAAGGGGGCCGGCCAAUACAAGUGAAAAGAGAGAUAAGGGAGUCAAGUGGUUGACUCACUUCUUUGACCUUUAUAAAGGAAGUUUAGUGAAAAAGUUUCAUUAGGGUUUUUGUGUGUUCUUUUGAACAAGAGAAAACAAAACUCUAUCUCUCUCUACACACCAUAUAGCCGGCUACCAUAAGGGAGAAAUAGCUAAUCAUCUUUUCUCCUUUUUGGUUAUUCCAACAUCCAUCUCACUACACUAGUGGGUGUGGAUCUUUAGAGGUCUUCUACUUUGGAGACUAGAGGGGAAUCAAAGGAGCUCUAAAUCUAUCAAGGUGGAGGAAACAAGGAGGGAGGCUAGACUCAAGGAGUUCUAAGAACAAAGAGCUUGGAGGUGGUCCAUCCUUGGUCUCAAGUCUAGAUCAAGAGGUAUUAAACUAUACCUUCACUUUGUUCUUCAAUAUUUUUUUAGAUGCAUCAUAUAUGAACCUAUGCUUCUUGAAGGGGAUUUGCAUGACUAUAGCUUUGAUAUUAUGUGAUAACAUGCUUCCGUUGCAAAUGUAUAUAAAUUUUGAAUUGUAUAUGCAUGCUAGUCACUAGAAAUCCCAUAUAAAUCUCAUUAUUUCCCUUCACUAACCACGCAACUUUGAAGUACUUACUUACAAAGAAAGAAGCCAAGCCAAGGCUUAUUCGCUGGAUGCUUCUUCUCCAAGAGUUUGACGUAGAAAUUUGAGACAAAAAAGGAAGCAAGAAGACAGUGGGACCAACUUGGAAGGACUGGAGCUUGCGUUUGAAUGAUGCAUUGUGGGUGUAUCGUACUGCUUACAAAACACCAAUUGGAAUGUCUCAUUUUCGGCUCAUUUAUAGGAAACCAUGUUAUCUUCUAGUUGAGUUAAAGCAUCGGGCACAUUGGGCAGUCAAGACUUUCAACAUGGACAUUGAUGCUAUUGGUCUUUAUAGGAAGUUACAAUUGAAUGAGCUUGAGGAAAUUCGGAAUGAGGCUUAUGAGAACGCUUAUAUUUACAAGGAGAAAACAAAGGUUGUCCAUGACAAGGUGAUUCGUAGUAGGAAAUUUUCUGUAGGGUAGAAAGUGUUACCUUUCAACUCCCACCUUCGAUUGUUUCCAUGUAAGUUGCGUUCUAAAUGGAUUGGUCAUUUUGUUGUUACUCAUGCCUUUCCCUAUGGUGCAGUCCAAAUUCAAAGCUUAAAAACAGGACAUGAAUUUAAAGUGAAUGGACACCGUUUGAAUCCUUUCUUUUUAUUAUUUUGAUUUAAGCUAUUUUCAUGUGUUUGUAGGUCCAAUUGGCAAAGAUGACAAUAAAUGGCUAAAUGGAGCAAUUUGGAGCAAUUUUGGACUUGGAUUGGAUAGCAUGUGUGGGGAGCACUUUGGAUGGACAUUUUUGGUGUUUAAAUAAUGCUAGAAAUGUGCUACAAUCUGGAGUAAUUAAGAGUGAGGUUUGGGAGACAAGGAAUCAUAAAUUAAAGGGAAACACAAACCUUAUCUAC